RNAcentral lists this ribosomal RNA (450 nucleotides) under uncultured bacterium. Its description in RNAcentral is "partial 16S ribosomal RNA". It matches the Rfam family "Bacterial small subunit ribosomal RNA", at positions 338 to 795 of the family's 1533-position model. The record is from RNAcentral.
CCUACGGGGGGCUGCAGUAAGGAAUAUUGGUCAAUGGACGAAAGUCUGAACCAGCCAUCCCGCGUGCAGGAUGAAAGCCCUAUGGGUUGUAAACUGCUUUUAGCAGAGAAGAAAAGCUUUCAUUAAUGAGAGUCUGACGGUAUCUGCAGAAUAAGCACCGGCUAACUCCGUGCCAGCAGCCGCGGUAAUACGGAGGGUGCGAGCGUUAUCCGGUGUAACUGGGUUUAAAGGGUGCGUUUAAGUAAGAUUUGAAGUCUUGUCGCUUAACGAGAAGAUUGCCAAUGAUACUGGUACUCUUGAAUUGGGUUGAGGUUAGCGGAAUGUGACAUGUAGCGGUGAAAUGCAUAGAUAUGUCAUGGAACACCAAUUGCGAAGGCAGCUAACUGGGCCUUGAUUGACGCUGAGGCACGAAAGCGUGGGUAGCGAACAGGAUUAGAUACCCUGGUAGUC